Molecule: long non-coding RNA, 1051 nt
Filed under: Chinchilla lanigera (long-tailed chinchilla)
Lineage: Eukaryota; Metazoa; Chordata; Mammalia; Rodentia; Chinchillidae
Description: lncRNA (ENSCLAG00000025588.1)
Source: RNAcentral
UUUAGAUAAAAAGAAAUGCAUAGAAAUAAUGGAUUUUAAGUAAAAAAUCAUGAAUGCUGCAUAGAAAACACAGAGAUCACCCUGGGAAGAGGAAAACACCUUGAUUUUCUAACUCAGCCUGUGCAAAGUGGUGAGAAAUUCAGUGGGACAACAAGAUCUUAUUUUGAGUAUGCUGUUUAGCAAAAACUCCUUCAGUGAAAUUCCUGAAUUGCCUUUCACUACAUUUGGGUUCAAGAUGUGGAAGAAAGUUCCCAAAGGAGCCCAUGCACUUGUAGCCCCUACCUGGACCCCCAGGAAGUGGAAGGUGCCCACCAACUCACAGGACGGAGGAGGAUAGUCAGAUGAGACUGACCCUGAAGCGAUUAAAUGGCAAUUUUCAGAGGAAAAAAAUUGAGAAAAUCUUGAAAGAUUUUCUCCAUUUGGAGCAUUUUUUAUUUUGUGGAAAGAAGAAGGCAAAAGUCCAAAUCCUGGGCAACCAGAUUCCAAGCCACAUCCUGAUAUCCACGCAGGGAGGUAAAACCCAGAAGCAAAACAGAGAUUUACCUUCUAAGCGAUGCAAAGCAGGAGGCAGUGUGUAAGUGUUCCUUGCGAUCUGUGACAUCUUCAUCAGGUAGUUCAGGAAGCUUCCAGGAGCCUGCAGACGUGGUUUCUAUGACACUAUGCAGGGUGCACAUGAGCAGAUGCCACUCCGGGGCCAUCAAUCUGCUCACAAUCAGGAUCUAAUAUGAGGCCUCAGCAGGAGCCUGAGACAAGCAAAGAGAUGCAAGAAAGGAACUGCUCUGCCUUUCACAGGUGUCAGAACUGCAAACACAGGACUGCUUGCAAAAAUCCAUAUGACAAUCACCGUGCAAGUACUUUGUCUAUACAACAGGCCAGCAUAAUUCAAGGGAAGUUUGCCCUAACAGUGGUUACAAAGCAGACUGGAGGAGCCACCAUGCUGCAGCUGACACACUGCAGACCCGAGGUACAGGCAGAGGUACAGGCAGACCCGAGUUCAGUCUUGCUACUCUGUGCAUGUGAGUCAAACCAGGAGUUUGCAGAGUUUGAUUAA